Molecule: ribosomal RNA, 498 nt
Filed under: uncultured bacterium
Lineage: Bacteria
Description: partial 16S ribosomal RNA
Rfam family: Bacterial small subunit ribosomal RNA
Source: RNAcentral
GACGAACGCUGGCGGCGUGCCUAAUACAUGCAAGUCGAACGAGAGCAACCGGUGCUUGCACUGGUCAAUCUAGUGGCGAACGGGUGAGUAACACGUGGGUAACCUGCCCAUCAGAGGGGGAUAACAUCCGGAAACGGAUGCUAAAACCGCAUAGGUCUUCGAACCGCAUGGUUUGAAGAGGAAAAGAGGCGCAAGCUUCUGCUGAUGGAUGGACCCGCGGUGCAUUAGCUAGUUGGUGAGGUAACGGCUCACCAAGGCCGUGAUGCAUAGCCGACCUGAGAGGGUGGUCGGCCACAUUGGGACUGAGACACGGCCCAAACUCCUACGGGAGGCAGCAGUAGGGAAUCUUCCGCAAUGGACGCAAGUCUGACGGAGCAACGCCGCGUGAGUGAAGAAGGUUUUCGGAUCGUAAAACUCUGUUGUUAGAGAAGAACAAGUGCUAGAGUAACUGUUAGCGCCUUGACGGUAGCUAAACAGAAAGCCACGGCUAACUACGUG